CCUACGGGUGGCAGCAGUAGGGAAUUUUGCGCAAUGGGCGAAAGCCUGACGCAGCAACACCGCGUGAAUGUUAAGCCCUUCGGGGUGUAAAGUUCUGUCAAUAGGGACGAAUUUUGACUGUACCUAUAAAGGAAGCACCGGCUAACUUCGUGCCAGCAGCCGCGGUAAUACGGGGGGUGCAAGCGUUGUCCGGAAUCAUAGGGCGUAAAGCGUUUGUAGGCGGAAAGGUAAGUCAGAUGUUAAAGCCCGGGGCUCAACUCCGGUUCGGCAUUGGAUACUAUAUAGCUAGAGUGUGGGAGAGGUAAGGGGAAUUCCUGGUGUAGCGGUGAAAUGCGUAGAUAUCAGGAAGAACAUCGGUGGCGAAAGCGGUUUACUGGACCAUUAUUGACGCUGAGGAACGAAAGCCAGGGGAGCAAAUAGGAUUAGAUACCCUUGUAGUC
This 440-nucleotide ribosomal RNA is filed under the name uncultured bacterium. Its description in RNAcentral is "partial 16S ribosomal RNA". It matches the Rfam family "Bacterial small subunit ribosomal RNA", at positions 338 to 795 of the family's 1533-position model. The record is from RNAcentral.